GAACUUCAAUGUUCCAUAUCCAAUCCAAUGAUCCAAGAGGUGGUCACACGGCAUUUUGGGAACAUCUUUCUGGUUAGAUAAAAGUUAAUUAAUUAAUAAACCAAAAAGUUUAUAUAGAAACCUGUAAUGGAAAAAUAAAAAGAUUUAGCAAAAAAAUAAAAAAGAUUUAAAAUAAAUAAAGGGCAAAUCUCCAAAAUAGCACAUUUCUAAGUUUAUAUCAUAAAAAUAGCACUCCAAAACUAAAAUGACCAAAAUAGCACAUUUCUAAGUUUAUCCUUUGAAAAUUUUAAUUUUUUUAUUUUUCAAAAUUUGAAAUCUUAUCCCCAAAAACUCAUUUCUCAACACUAACCCUAAACCUUAAACUCUAAACCCUAAACCCUAAACCCUAAAUUCUAAACCCUAAACCCUAAACUCUAAACCCUAAACCCCAAACCCUAAACCCUAAACCCUAAACUCUAAACACUAAACCCUAAACUCUAAACCCUAAACCCUAAACCCUAAACCCUAAAUCAUAAACCC
This 519-nucleotide long non-coding RNA is filed under the name Brassica napus (rape). RNAcentral describes it as "long non-coding RNA (BNAP_LNC013578)". Lineage: Eukaryota; Viridiplantae; Streptophyta; Magnoliopsida; Brassicales; Brassicaceae. The record is from RNAcentral.